RNAcentral lists this ribosomal RNA (254 nucleotides) under uncultured bacterium. Its description in RNAcentral is "partial 16S ribosomal RNA". It matches the Rfam family "Bacterial small subunit ribosomal RNA", at positions 524 to 777 of the family's 1533-position model. The record is from RNAcentral.
GACGAACCGUGCGAACGUUGUUCGGAAUCACUGGGCUUAAAGGGCGCGUAGGCGGGCGGGCAAGUCUGCGGUGAAAGCCUCCAGCUCAACUGGAGAAGUGCCGUGGAUACUGCUCAUCUUGAGGAGGGUAGGGGCGUCUGGAACGUUGGGUGGAGCGGUGAAAUGCGUAGAUAUCUGGAGGAACACCGGUGGCGAAGGCGGCAUCCUGGACCAACAUUGACGCUGAGGAGCGAAAGCCAGGGGAGCAAAGCGGG